GCCCACCACAUAUUGAACUGUGCCCAUUGAGUAACAUCUUCGAGCAUCCAAAUUACUAGUCUCUCCUUGUCCACUCUCCCUGCUAGGUUCUCCCUCAGUCAGGCUUCUGAACUUCCCAAGUCUCACCGAGAAUACCCUCUUCUCGCCUACACUUUCCUCCAUAUUACUUGGUUUUGGACCGUUGGAAGACCCAUUUUCUCCAUCGCUGGAGAACUCAUUUGAGACUUCCAUCAAAAAAUCAAAAUUGAACAAUGGAUUUUCCAUGGGAAAACUGGAG
Molecule: unclassified non-coding RNA, 277 nt
Filed under: Hevea brasiliensis (rubber tree)
Lineage: Eukaryota; Viridiplantae; Streptophyta; Magnoliopsida; Malpighiales; Euphorbiaceae
Source: RNAcentral